This 387-nucleotide ribosomal RNA is filed under the name uncultured bacterium. RNAcentral describes it as "bacterial SSU rRNA". It matches the Rfam family "Bacterial small subunit ribosomal RNA", at positions 370 to 772 of the family's 1533-position model. The record is from RNAcentral.
AAUGGGGGAAACCCUGACGCAGCAAUACCGCGUGAGUGAAGAAGGUUUUCGGAUCGUAAAACUCUUUUAUUGGGGAAGAAGAAGUGACGGUACCCAAUGAAGAAGUCCCGGCUAACUACGUGCCAGCAGCCGCGGUAAUACGUAGGGGACAAGCGUUGUCCGGAAUCACUGGGCGUAAAGGGCGCGUAGGCGGUUUUAUAAGUCAGAUGUGAAAGGUACCGGCUCAACCGGUGACGUGCAUUUGAAACUGUAAGACUUGAGUACUGGAGAGGCAAGUGGAAUUCCUAGUGUAGCGGUGAAAUGCGUAGAUAUUAGGAGGAACACCGGUGGCGAAGGCGGCUUGCUGGACAGAUACUGACGCUGAGGUGCGAAAGCGUGGGGAGCGAA